CCGUGCCGGACCAGCCCAUGGGUUGAGGUAGCGGCCCAGGCCCAGCCCGUAGUGUAGGUCGGGCCGGCUCGACCUACAGGGUUGCCGUGCCAGGCCGUGCCUGGACGGGGCCAAAAUGCCAUGCCAUGGGCCAAAUGGCCAUCUAUAGUCAGGGGUCCAUGUGGGUGCCGGUUCCGUCCCGUGGGGCGCGAAUGGGUGCGCGCGCUCUCCCUCCCUCUCUCUAUAUGUAUUACGAGAUACGAGAAUGGACAUAUCAAUUAUAAUAAAUCGACUACAUAGUUUUCUGAAACCAUUCAAGUUACUGUAACCAUUCCAGUGCGUUGGAUGGACCGGCCACAGAAUAAACUAUUCUAUCGCCAGCUGUAGAGUAUAUAAGUGUGUGUAUAUAUAUAUAAUGCACCUGGUUGCAUUUUGCAUCUUGUUGCAACUGGUUUAGUCUGCUUGUUGCAACC
This 452-nucleotide long non-coding RNA is filed under the name Setaria viridis. Its description in RNAcentral is "long non-coding RNA (SVIR_LNC003159)". Lineage: Eukaryota; Viridiplantae; Streptophyta; Magnoliopsida; Poales; Poaceae. The record is from RNAcentral.